GCGGAUGUUAUUCAAUGGCAGAAUAUCAGCUUCCCAAGCUGACUACGCGGGUUCGAUUCCCGUCAUCCG
Molecule: transfer RNA, 69 nt
Filed under: Clostridiales bacterium
Lineage: Bacteria; Bacillati; Bacillota; Clostridia; Eubacteriales
Description: tRNA-Gly
Rfam family: tRNA
About the family: Transfer RNA (tRNA) molecules are approximately 80 nucleotides in length.
Source: RNAcentral